AUAUUUUCACUUUUCCCACUUCGUGAGCGCGAGUGAUCUAUCUCUUCUACGCAGAUAUAAAAUUUCUAUUUCCGUUUUAUCCCGUACAAGCUAUUUCAUCCAAACAAUUGUUAGAUUAUAAAAAUUUCACGUUCCAUCAGUAAUUGGAAGGAAUAUAAAAAAUUUGGAGAAAAAUUAAAAACGUGAAUUAAAAAAUAAUGGAAGACAUUGUAAAAGAAUGUAAUUGCACUGAAGAUUGUCACAGCAAAAGUGAAUACCCGGGCAUCUACAUGAAAUAAAGCUGUCAAUAUUUUGAACAAAAUGUUAAAUUUAUUGAACGCUGUUUAAAAGAGCGAGCCGACUUUAAAUCUAAACCUCAAGAUGAUCCAAAAGUACAGUCCGAAUUGAAAACUAACAAUUCCUUAAUCGGAUCAAGUAUCCAGGCGAUGUAUAGAUAUCGUUUACUGUUAGAUGAAUGUACUUAUGCCAAUCAGUAUCUCAAGAAUACGGAUUAUGGAAAAAAAUACAUGGACUUGAAGAAAAAUUCUAAAAUUGCGAAUAAAGUAAUGAGUUUAGGUGUUGAAAAUUUGCUAGAGAUGUACAAAGAUCCUGGUCAUUUUAUUGAUACAAAUUUACACUAGUAAAUAAUUAUUAUAAUUAUCAACCUAUCAUUCAAAUUGAUAUAAUAUUGAUAAAAUCUUGUGAACUUGUAAUGUAAAGCUUACAUUGAUUAUUCUGAAUUAUUUAUUUAAUUGCAUUUACUUAUUUCAAUCAAUUAAACAUAAUAGAUACAUAUUUAUUGUA
Long non-coding RNA from Microplitis demolitor, 783 nucleotides. RefSeq lists it as uncharacterized. The transcript has 3 exons. The record is from RefSeq and is a predicted model, not a curated record. Lineage: Eukaryota; Metazoa; Arthropoda; Insecta; Hymenoptera; Braconidae.